CUACGGGACGCAGCAGUGGGGAAUAUUGGACAAUGGGGGAAACCCUGAUCCAGCAAUGCCGCGUGUGUGAAGAAGGCCUGCGGGUUGUAAAGCACUUUCGGUUGGGAGGACUGCUUCUAGCACUAAUAUUGUUGGAAGUUGACGUUACCUUCAGAAGAAGCACCGGCUAACUCCGUGCCAGCAGCCGCGGUAAUACGGGAGGGUGCAAGCGUUAAUCGGAAUUACUGGGCGUAAAGCGCGCGUAGGCGGCUAGAUCAGUCGGGUGUGAAAGCCCCGGGCUUAACCUGGGAACUGCAUCCGAUACUGUCUAGCUUGAGUACAGGAGAGGAGAGUGGAAUUCCACAUGUAGCGGUGAAAUGCGUAGAUAUGUGGAGGAACACCAGUGGCGAAGGCAGCUCUCUGGCCUGAUACUGACGCUGAGGUGCGAAAGCGUGGGGAGCAAACAGGAUUAGAUACCCCGGUAGUC
RNAcentral lists this ribosomal RNA (466 nucleotides) under uncultured bacterium. Its description in RNAcentral is "partial 16S ribosomal RNA". It matches the Rfam family "Bacterial small subunit ribosomal RNA", at positions 339 to 795 of the family's 1533-position model. The record is from RNAcentral.